CAGACACACAAAGAAUCAGGACACACAAGUCUGAUCAAGAGUUACAUGCAAGGCUGAGAGAACAGGAGAGAAGAUCCGAGCUGAUCCAGCGGAUUUGGAUCUGUCUGUGGGACAGGAAGCUCCCAAUCACCCAGCUCCUCCUAUACAGCCAGCAGCACAUGAUCCAACAACAAAAGGUCCUUCCUCCUCUUCCUCCUCCUCCUCCUCCUCCUUCUCCUCCUCUAUCUUGUUUAGUACCAGUGUCAAAGAAAGCCAACCCAUCUGACCCCAAUGACUUUAGACCUGUUGGCCACAUGUUUGGCAUAUCUAGGACCACAGGUGAAACCCAGUCUGGACCCUCUUCAGUUUGCCUUCCAGCCUCAGGUGGAUGUAGAUGAUGCUGACACCUGGAUGGACUCGUCUCUAUACUUGUCCUGUUAGAUCUUAGUGCUGCAU
Molecule: long non-coding RNA, 435 nt
Organism: Toxotes jaculatrix (banded archerfish)
Lineage: Eukaryota; Metazoa; Chordata; Actinopteri; Toxotidae
Exons: 3
Source: RefSeq, a predicted model, not a curated record